This 656-nucleotide ribosomal RNA is filed under the name Salmonella enterica subsp. enterica serovar Saintpaul. RNAcentral describes it as "partial 23S ribosomal RNA". It matches the Rfam family "Bacterial large subunit ribosomal RNA", at positions 1 to 688 of the family's 2925-position model. RNAcentral also lists the same sequence under 1 other name. The record is from RNAcentral. Lineage: Bacteria; Pseudomonadati; Pseudomonadota; Gammaproteobacteria; Enterobacterales; Enterobacteriaceae.
GGGUUGUGAGGUUAAGCGACUAAGCGUACACGGUGGAUGCCCUGGCAGUCAGAGGCGAUGAAGGACGUGCUAAUCUGCGAUAAGCGCCGGUAAGGUGAUAUGAACCGUUAUAACCGGCGAUUUCCGAAUGGGGAAACCCAGUGUGACUCGUCACACUAUCAUUAACUGAAUCCAUAGGUUAAUGAGGCGAACCGGGGGAACUGAAACAUCUAAGUACCCCGAGGAAAAGAAAUCAACCGAGAUUCCCCCAGUAGCGGCGAGCGAACGGGGAGGAGCCCAGAGCCUGAAUCAGCAUGUGUGUUAGUGGAAGCGUCUGGAAAGGCGCGCGAUACAGGGUGACAGCCCCGUACACAAAAGCGCAUGUGCUGUGAGCUCGAUGAGUAGGGCGGGACACGUGGUAUCCUGUCUGAAUAUGGGGGGACCAUCCUCCAAGGCUAAAUACUCCUGACUGACCGAUAGUGAACCAGUACCGUGAGGGAAAGGCGAAAAGAACCCCGGCGAGGGGAGUGAAAAAGAACCUGAAACCGUGUACGUACAAGCAGUGGGAGCACAGGUUUACCUGUGUGACUGCGUACCUUUUGUAUAAUGGGUCAGCGACUUAUAUUCUGUAGCAAGGUUAACCGUAUAGGGGAGCCGUAGGGAAACCGAGUCUUAAC